RNAcentral lists this long non-coding RNA (3001 nucleotides) under Triticum aestivum (bread wheat). Its description in RNAcentral is "long non-coding RNA (TAES_LNC018594)". The record is from RNAcentral. Lineage: Eukaryota; Viridiplantae; Streptophyta; Magnoliopsida; Poales; Poaceae.
CAGAACGCGCACAAGCAAGAGCGUGCCAUCGCCAAGCGCCGGCGAGAGGCUGCCGCGGCAGCCACCCGUGCAGAGGAAUCAAGGUCAAGGAAGGCGGGGAGGCAUGCUGCUACUGCUACUCGGAUGCCCGAGCCAGCAGACGGCAAGCAGGGCGGGAGCUCGUCCAAGCGUGGUGACGACGACGAGGUGGACUUGUCUCUCCGGCUCUAAGCAAUCCCUCCAUCGAUCUUCUAAUAUAGGAGGAUUCGUGUUAUUUCCUGCUAGGUAAGUCAGAAUCUAGCUACUUUGGUUUGGAAAAAGAAUGUUUUACCUUCUGGCUCGUACAGCAACAAUUUGAUCAACCGUUUUCUUUCAAGCUCAUGUUGGGCGUGUGUUAGAUUCAUCGGCUCUUCUAGUUGAUUUUGUUUAUAAUGUCUUGGUAUUGAAUGCCCAAACCUUCCUGGUCCUUGAAAUGACACAAAAUCAUUCAUUUCACCGGUGUAUGCCUUCUCAUGCUAAUCACAUUGCAGAAAAAUCCAGAUCUACCAAAAUCUAAAUCCUUAGAGCUCAUUAGGGAUCUCUAAAAUAAAACCAUCAUGAAAUUGGGGUGUAGCUAACCUCCAGUUUUUGGACCUCCAACUGGUAAAACACAUCUGAAUCUGUAGAAACUAAUGAUCUUCUUUAAUCUCAUUUCAUAGUCUCCAACGAUAAUUUGGAACACAGAGGUAUUUGAAUGGAAACGAGCCCAGACCACAACCAAAAAGCGAACUCUUGAGAAAGUAAAUUUCAAGACAUGAAUGGUGUGAAAGAAAAUUAAAUGUGCUACAAAUUAGUUUUAUUGCUUCAAAUCAUGUUCCAUAAAGAGUGUAGUGUCAUCAAAAUAUUGAAGUAUUCGCUCCUUUCCUUUUUUGAUUGCCUACCUCAAAAAUCAGAAUUUUCCAAUUUGUAAGGCUCAUUGUCUUGGGAACAUGCAAACAUAGCUUUGUCCACAUUAAGUUAUUUCAAAAUUUUGUUCCCAAUGUGUAAUCAACCAAUGCCAUGAAGGAGUGAUAAGGCCAUGCAUGUAGCAUUAAAAGGUUGCCUAGAACUUAUGUAAGUCCUGCUUGAUUGAUUAUUUACAAGAUGAGCCCAACAAACCGGAAAGGAGGGAGUAUAUGUUUUGUCAUAGUCAAGAGAUGUGGAAAACACCACAGAUCUUGAAGUCCUGCUUUGUUUUUUUAUGGGCCAGUCCUCCUUUGCUACAUUUACGAGGAUAAGUAGCAUACCUGCUAUAACAUUGAUGCGGACAAAUGACAAAAGACCCCCUUGACGUGGGCUCUAUUUUUCGCCUGAAAAAGGAACAUCAUUGUUGACAUUUUUUCGAGAAGGAGGAUAACGCCAGGUCUCUUCAUCAAAGCGAUGCAUACAAUGAUUUUACUAAAUUAUUCAGUAGAACCCGACAAAACAAGAAUAUUGAUCAACCCAAAGCCACCUUCCUCAGUAACCAUAGUUGCUACACCUACCAACUUCAAGAUGUGUCCCGUCCGUGCAUCAACACACAUCAUAGCACCAACCGGUCUAGCAGACCCUAAGCGCGCACCGCACACACACGCUCUAGAAUCAUACGCCACCAUCUUCUACAAUCCCACCUUCAGGGGCAACCAACGCAUUCACCUUGCUAGGCCAUACUGUCGUCGAUACCACCACGACGCCCAACAACACUACCAACUGCGCACGUCCAUCAACACGCGUCCGUCGCCGAGGCUUCACUAUGCCACAGCGCAGAGACCAGUCGUCGUCACCGUAGUAGAAGCAACACGGCACCUCCUCUUGUCCCCUCCAGCCAUCAUUAGCUCCAAUUCGAUGCCCCCCGAGAGAGAGGACGGCCCCAAAGACCCCAUCAUCAUCCGAUUCGGGAAUCUCAGAUUUAGCGUUUCCCCCGAAGCAGCCGGACCGGGGUGACGAUGAUUGCAACCGACCAUGCCUUCGGCAAGGGGACGAUGACAAAGGCGCCGCCAUCGUCUGCCAUGAACGAGGUCGACACGGUUUUCACGGGCAGCAGCGCCAUCCUGAUCCCGCAAAUGACUGGAUCCGUGCGGAUCCACGUUGUGAAGACGAACACAGCCGCCGAAUCGCCAACAGAGGUUCUCCAGCUGCCCCUCACCGGACCCUCUAUGCGUCACCAGCUGGCCACAACUAUGGGCUGGCCGGGAGCCAACCCGCACAUCGUCGCCGAUAACCGCACCACCAACCCUCGUCGGCGAGCGUGUAGCACUGCCGCCACCGCCACCACCACACGGCCGCCUGGCGCCGCUGCCGGAGGCGAGACGCUGUGCCGCCAGCGACCCAGAUCCGGGCAAGUACCCCACGCCCAUGGGUGCCACGCAUCACCCAAACCUGCACGGGAGGGGAGAGAGCCUCCCGCACCGCCCUCGCCCGCCGGGCUUUUACAAUGGCUUCCUCGAGCGGUGAUGGAGUGAGGAACGGGAACUGCGGCAGCCUCGACGGCUAGGGUUCGAGGGUCCGCCCGAGUUGUCCAGGCGGGCGGCGACACGGGGGCGUGAGUCACACGGGGCGAGCAGCAAUUGAUGACAUUUAUGUCAACGCAUAUUUUUUCUGCAUAAUUUUUUCACCCAUGUUCGUAAAAAAAUGGGAAACCCAUCUCCGCUGAGCUUGCAUUGGGAAAUACCAGUGGACUAGUCUCAGAAUGUGGUUUCUUAUACUUAUCGCCUAGUUUGUUCUGCAAAUAUCUAAUACAAAACAUGUAUAACCUAUUAGGACCAAGGGCUUUGGACGGCAGCGAGGCAAGCUGGCGGAUCAAAGAGGUAAGUUGACCAUGUAUGUCAUUUGACAAAACCAUUACUGAGCAGUUACAACUACAACUACUUGUGAGUGUUUUUUUCUUACCCGGUUUUCCACCUUGUGAGUGCAAACCUCUCGCAGACACAUAUUUCCGUUAUUUUUGCUCUAUGCUAAGCAAGUCAAUGUGGUUCAGUUGUCGGGUCGGAAUUCAAGAACUCGCUAUAUUCAUUUUGAAAAAGCA